Non-coding RNA from Nocardiopsis sp. CNR-923, 63 nucleotides. NCBI's taxonomy places the organism in Bacteria, Bacillati, Actinomycetota, Actinomycetes, Streptosporangiales, Nocardiopsidaceae. The record is from Rfam.
AAGAGCCGUGUAACGAGAGAUUGUUACGCACGGUUCUGUGGAGGCCUCGGGGUGAGAUUCCCC